RNAcentral lists this ribosomal RNA (2787 nucleotides) under metagenome. Its description in RNAcentral is "bacterial LSU rRNA". It matches the Rfam family "Bacterial large subunit ribosomal RNA". The record is from RNAcentral. RNAcentral also lists the same sequence under 1 other name.
AGCGUACACGGUGGAUGCCCUGGCAGUCAGAGGCGAUGAAGGACGUGCUAAUCUGCGAUAAGCGUCGGUAAGGUGAUAUGAACCGUUAUAACCGGCGAUUUCCGAAUGGGGAAACCCAGUGUGUUUCGACACACUAUCAUUAACUGAAUCCAUAGGUUAAUGAGGCGAACCGGGGGAACUGAAACAUCUAAGUACCCCGAGGAAAAGAAAUCAACCGAGAUUCCCCCAGUAGCGGCGAGCGAACGGGGAGCAGCCCAGAGCCUGAAUCAGUGUGUGUGUUAGUGGAAGCGUCUGGAAAGGCGCGCGAUACAGGGUGACAGCCCCGUACACAAAAAUGCACAUACUGUGAGCUCGAUGAGUAGGGCGGGACACGUGGUAUCCUGUCUGAAUAUGGGGGGACCAUCCUCCAAGGCUAAAUACUCCUGACUGACCGAUAGUGAACCAGUACCGUGAGGGAAAGGCGAAAAGAACCCCGGCGAGGGGAGUGAAAAAGAACCUGAAACCGUGUACGUACAAGCAGUGGGAGCCUCUUAAUGGGGUGACUGCGUACCUUUUGUAUAAUGGGUCAGCGACUUAUAUUCUGUAGCAAGGUUAACCGAAUAGGGGAGCCGAAGGGAAACCGAGUCUUAACUGGGCGUUAAGUUGCAGGGUAUAGACCCGAAACCCGGUGAUCUAGCCAUGGGCAGGUUGAAGGUUGGGUAACACUAACUGGAGGACCGAACCGACUAAUGUUGAAAAAUUAGCGGAUGACUUGUGGCUGGGGGUGAAAGGCCAAUCAAACCGGGAGAUAGCUGGUUCUCCCCGAAAGCUAUUUAGGUAGCGCCUCGUGAAUUCAUCUCCGGGGGUAGAGCACUGUUUCGGCAAGGGGGUCAUCCCGACUUACCAACCCGAUGCAAACUGCGAAUACCGGAGAAUGUUAUCACGGGAGACACACGGCGGGUGCUAACGUCCGUCGUGAAGAGGGAAACAACCCAGACCGCCAGCUAAGGUCCCAAAGUCAUGGUUAAGUGGGAAACGAUGUGGGAAGGCCCAGACAGCCAGGAUGUUGGCUUAGAAGCAGCCAUCAUUUAAAGAAAGCGUAAUAGCUCACUGGUCGAGUCGGCCUGCGCGGAAGAUGUAACGGGGCUAAACCAUGCACCGAAGCUGCGGCAGCGACACUAUGUGUUGUUGGGUAGGGGAGCGUUCUGUAAGCCUGCGAAGGUGUACUGUGAGGUAUGCUGGAGGUAUCAGAAGUGCGAAUGCUGACAUAAGUAACGAUAAAGCGGGUGAAAAGCCCGCUCGCCGGAAGACCAAGGGUUCCUGUCCAACGUUAAUCGGGGCAGGGUGAGUCGACCCCUAAGGCGAGGCCGAAAGGCGUAGUCGAUGGGAAACAGGUUAAUAUUCCUGUACUUGGUGUUACUGCGAAGGGGGGACGGAGAAGGCUAUGUUGGCCGGGCGACGGUUGUCCCGGUUUAAGCGUGUAGGCUGGUUUUCCAGGCAAAUCCGGAAAAUCAAGGCUGAGGCGUGAUGACGAGGCACUACGGUGCUGAAGCAACAAAUGCCCUGCUUCCAGGAAAAGCCUCUAAGCAUCAGGUAACAUCAAAUCGUACCCCAAACCGACACAGGUGGUCAGGUAGAGAAUACCAAGGCGCUUGAGAGAACUCGGGUGAAGGAACUAGGCAAAAUGGUGCCGUAACUUCGGGAGAAGGCACGCUGAUAUGUAGGUGAAGUCCCUUGCGGAUGGAGCUGAAAUCAGUCGAAGAUACCAGCUGGCUGCAACUGUUUAUUAAAAACACAGCACUGUGCAAACACGAAAGUGGACGUAUACGGUGUGACGCCUGCCCGGUGCCGGAAGGUUAAUUGAUGGGGUUAGCGGUAACGCGAAGCUCUUGAUCGAAGCCCCGGUAAACGGCGGCCGUAACUAUAACGGUCCUAAGGUAGCGAAAUUCCUUGUCGGGUAAGUUCCGACCUGCACGAAUGGCGUAAUGAUGGCCAGGCUGUCUCCACCCGAGACUCAGUGAAAUUGAACUCGCUGUGAAGAUGCAGUGUACCCGCGGCAAGACGGAAAGACCCCGUGAACCUUUACUAUAGCUUGACACUGAACAUUGAGCCUUGAUGUGUAGGAUAGGUGGGAGGCUUUGAAGUGUGGACGCCAGUCUGCAUGGAGCCGGCCUUGAAAUACCACCCUUUAAUGUUUGAUGUUCUAACGUUGGCCCCUGAUCGGGGUUGCGGACAGUGUCUGGUGGGUAGUUUGACUGGGGCGGUCUCCUCCUAAAGAGUAACGGAGGAGCACGAAGGUUGGCUAAUCCUGGUCGGACAUCAGGAGGUUAGUGCAAUGGCAUAAGCCAGCUUGACUGCGAGCGUGACGGCGCGAGCAGGUGCGAAAGCAGGUCAUAGUGAUCCGGUGGUUCUGAAUGGAAGGGCCAUCGCUCAACGGAUAAAAGGUACUCCGGGGAUAACAGGCUGAUACCGCCCAAGAGUUCAUAUCGACGGCGGUGUUUGGCACCUCGAUGUCGGCUCAUCACAUCCUGGGGCUGAAGUAGGUCCCAAGGGUAUGGCUGUUCGCCAUUUAAAGUGGUACGCGAGCUGGGUUUAGAACGUCGUGAGACAGUUCGGUCCCUAUCUGCCGUGGGCGCUGGAGAACUGAGGGGGGCUGCUCCUAGUACGAGAGGACCGGAGUGGACGCAUCACUGGUGUUCGGGUUGUCAUGCCAAUGGCACUGCCCGGUAGCUAAAUGCGGAAGAGAUAAGUGCUGAAAGCAUCUAAGCACGAAACUUGCCCCGAGAUGAGUUCUCCCUGACUCCUUGA